UAAUACGGAGGGUGCAAGCGUUAAUCGGAAUUACUGGGCGUAAAGCGCACGCAGGCGGUUUGUUAAGUCAGAUAUGAAAUCCCCGGGCUCAACCUGGGAACUGCAUUUGAAACUGGCAAGCUAGAGUCUCGUAGAGGGGGGUAGAAUUCCAGGUGUAGCGGUGAAAUGCGUAGAGAUCUGGAGGAAUACCGGUGGCGAAGGCGGCCCCCUGGACGAAGACUGACGCUCAGGUGCGAAAGCGUGGGGAGCAAACAGGAUUAGAUACCCUGGUAGUCCACGCUGUAAACGAUGUCGAUUUGGAGGUUGUGCCCUUGAGGCGUGGCUUCCGGAGCUAACGCGUUAAAUCGACCGCCUGGGGAGUACGGCCGCAAGGUU
This 375-nucleotide ribosomal RNA is filed under the name uncultured Serratia sp. RNAcentral describes it as "bacterial SSU rRNA". It matches the Rfam family "Bacterial small subunit ribosomal RNA", at positions 521 to 895 of the family's 1533-position model. The record is from RNAcentral. Lineage: Bacteria; Pseudomonadati; Pseudomonadota; Gammaproteobacteria; Enterobacterales; Yersiniaceae.